UACGGAGGGGGCUAGCGUUGUUCGGAAUCAUUGGGCGUAAAGGGCGCGUAGGCGGCCUGGCAAGUCGGGUGUGAAAGCCCUCGGCUCAACCGAGGAACAGCACUCGAUACUGCCGGGCUAGAGUCCGGGAGGGGAUGGUGGAAUUCCCAGUGUAGCGGUGAAAUGCGUAGAUAUUGGGAAGAACACCGGUGGCGAAGGCGGCCAUCUGGACCGGUACUGACGCUGAGGCGCGAAAGCUAGGGGAGCGAAUGGG
Molecule: ribosomal RNA, 253 nt
Filed under: uncultured prokaryote
Description: partial 16S ribosomal RNA
Rfam family: Bacterial small subunit ribosomal RNA
Source: RNAcentral